RNAcentral lists this ribosomal RNA (448 nucleotides) under uncultured bacterium. RNAcentral's name for it is "partial 16S ribosomal RNA". It matches the Rfam family "Bacterial small subunit ribosomal RNA", at positions 29 to 523 of the family's 1533-position model. The record is from RNAcentral.
AACGAACGCUGGCGGCAGGCUUAACACAUGCAAGUCGAGCGCAUCCUUCGGGGUGAGCGGCAGACGGGUGAGUAACGCGUGGGAACGUACCCUUUCCUACGGAAUAGCUCCGGGAAACUGGAAUUAAUACCGUAUACGCCCUUAGGGGAAAGAUUUAUCGGGGAAGGAUCGGCCCGCGUUGGAUUAGCUAGUUGGUGGGGUAAAGGCCUACCAAGGCGACGAUCCAUGGCUGGUCUGAGAGGAUGAUCAGCCACAUUGGGACUGAGACACGGCCCAAACUCCUACGGGAGGCAGCAGUGGGGAAUAUUGGACAAUGGGCGCAAGCCUGAUCCAGCCAUGCCGCGUGAGUGAUAAAGGCCUUAGGGUUGUAAAGCUCUUUCAGUAGGGAAGAUAAUGACGGUACCUACAGAAGAAGCCCCGGCUAACUUCGUGCCAGCCGCCGCCGUAA